AUUGAACGCUGGCGGCAGGCCUAACACAUGCAAGUCGAGCGGAUGAAGGGAGCUUGCUCCUGGAUUCAGCGGCGGACGGGUGAGUAAUGCCUAGGAAUCUGCCUGGUAGUGGGGGAUAACGUCCGGAAACGGGCGCUAAUACCGCAUACGUCCUGAGGGAGAAAGUGGGGGAUCUUCGGACCUCACGCUAUCAGAUGAGCCUAGGUCGGAUUAGCUAGUUGGUGGGGUAAAGGCCUACCAAGGCGACGAUCCGUAACUGGUCUGAGAGGAUGAUCAGUCACACUGGAACUGAGACACGGUCCAGACUCCUACGGGAGGCAGCAGUGGGGAAUAUUGGACAAUGGGCGAAAGCCUGAUCCAGCCAUGCCGCGUGUGUGAAGAAGGUCUUCGGAUUUUAAAGCACUUUAAGUUGGGAGGAAGGGCAGUAAGUUAAUACCUUGCUGUUUUGACGUUACCAACAGAAUAAGCACCGGCUAACUCCGUG
This 484-nucleotide ribosomal RNA is filed under the name uncultured bacterium. RNAcentral's name for it is "partial 16S ribosomal RNA". It matches the Rfam family "Bacterial small subunit ribosomal RNA", at positions 30 to 507 of the family's 1533-position model. The record is from RNAcentral.